GAUUUUGAUCCUGGCUCAGGACGAACGCUGGCGGCGUGCUUAACACAUGCAAGUCGAGCGAGGCUCCUCCUUCGGGAGGUGUCCUAGCGGCGAACGGGUGAGUAACACGUGGGCAACCUGCCCUCAGCUCUGGGAUAACUCCGGGAAACCGGGGCUAAUACCGGAUACGACCUCCACGGGCAUCUGCGGAGGUGGAAAGGGUUUCCGGCUGAGGAUGGGCCCGCGGCCUAUCAGCUAGUUGGUGGGGUGACGGCCCACCAAGGCGACGACGGGUAGCCGGCCUGAGAGGGCGACCGGCCACACUGGGACUGAGACACGGCCCAGACUCCUACGGGAGGCAGCAGUGGGGAAUAUUGCGCAAUGGGCGAAAGCCUGACGCAGCGACGCCGCGUGAGGGACGAAGGCCUUCGGGUUGUAAACCUCUUUCAGCAGGGACGAAGCGAGAGUGACGGUACCUGCAGAAGAAGCACCGGCCAACUACGUGCCAGCAGCCGCGGUAAUACGUAGGGUGCAAGCGUUGUCCGGAAUUAUUGGGCGUAAAGAGCUCGUAGGCGGUCUGUUGCGUCGGCUGUGAAAACCCGGGGCUCAACUCCGGGCCUGCAGCCGAUACGGGCAGACUAGAGUUCGGCAGGGGAGACUGGAAUUCCUGGUGUAGCGGUGAAAUGCGCAGAUAUCAGGAGGAACACCGGUGGCGAAGGCGGGUCUCUGGGCCGAUACUGACGCUGAGGAGCGAAAGCGUGG
Molecule: ribosomal RNA, 741 nt
Filed under: uncultured bacterium
Lineage: Bacteria
Description: bacterial SSU rRNA
Rfam family: Bacterial small subunit ribosomal RNA
Source: RNAcentral